Molecule: long non-coding RNA, 458 nt
Filed under: Olea europaea (common olive)
Lineage: Eukaryota; Viridiplantae; Streptophyta; Magnoliopsida; Lamiales; Oleaceae
Description: long non-coding RNA (OEUR_LNC015465)
Source: RNAcentral
GAGGGCAGGCAGUGUAUUUGACAGAAUCAGCCCCGCUGAACCGAGGCUUGGGCAACAGCAGACACAUCAGCCUUGGACAAGACCACAGUCUCCACCUCCGAUGCCCCAGCAACCGGAAGAAAGGCACGAAAAUAUCCCCCGUGUUGCUCCCCCUAGAAAUAGGCGGCAGAGGAGGGAAGAAGAGGUUAGGAACCGUCCCGGAACCUCUCACCAACAACCACGACAAGAGGCCGAGGAAUAUGAUUCAGAUGAACAGCAGAGGUCCUGUGACUUGGACGAUGACGAUGAGAAUAUACCGUUCUCAAGGGAACUAAGGAACGCCCAAGUUCGAAACCACUAUGUGAUGCCAAAGAUACCAAAGUAUGAUGGAAGAGGAGACUCGGAGAAGCACCUAAAUGCUUAUAAAACCCACAUGAGCCUCAGAGGUGCCACCCUAGCUGUGAAGUGUAGAGCUUUCC